CGCGUAGGCGGACAUUUAAGUCGGGGGUGAAAGCCCGGGGCUCAACCCCGGAAUUGCCUCCGGAUACUGGGUGUCUCGAGACCGGAAGAGGUGAGUGGAACUGCGAGUGUAGAGGCGAAAUUCGUAGAUAUUCGCAAGAACACCAGUGGCGAAGGCGGCUCACUGGUCCGGAUCUGACGCUGAGGCGCGAAAGCGUGGGGAGCAAACAG
Molecule: ribosomal RNA, 209 nt
Filed under: uncultured bacterium
Lineage: Bacteria
Description: partial 16S ribosomal RNA
Rfam family: Bacterial small subunit ribosomal RNA
Source: RNAcentral